UACAGAGGUCUCAAGCGUUGUUCGGAUUCAUUGGGCGUAAAGGGUGUGUAGGUGGCGCCGUAAGUCGGGUGUGAAAUUUCGGAGCUUAACUCCGAAACUGCAUUCGAUACUGCGGUGCUUGAGGACUGGAGAGGAGACUGGAAUUCAUGGUGUAGCAGUGAAAUGCGUAGAUAUUGGGAAGAACACCGGUGGCGAAGGCGGCGACCUGGUCCUUGACUGACGCUGAGGCGCGAAAGCGUGGGGAGCAAACAGG
This 253-nucleotide ribosomal RNA is filed under the name uncultured bacterium. RNAcentral describes it as "partial 16S ribosomal RNA". It matches the Rfam family "Bacterial small subunit ribosomal RNA", at positions 524 to 776 of the family's 1533-position model. The record is from RNAcentral.